Fukomys damarensis (Damara mole-rat) is the source of this 936-nucleotide RNA transcript. RefSeq lists it as uncharacterized. NCBI's taxonomy places the organism in Eukaryota, Metazoa, Chordata, Mammalia, Rodentia, Bathyergidae. The record is from RefSeq and is a predicted model, not a curated record. The transcript has 5 exons.
UUCCCUCUCCCCUACCUGACACAUCCAACCCCGGAACCUUCUCUACCUGUAAUUUCCUUCCUUUGAUUUCCACCAGCCCAGACCCUUGGCCCUCCACUCUGACCCGCCCCAGAGUGGCUUCAGGACCCCAGUGUCCUCGCUGGGCACUGGGCGAGAGGCUGUGGCAGAGCCCUGGAGGAAGCCAACUCAUUUAAAGGGAGCAUUUGGAAAGUGGGAGUGAGGAUUUACAAGGAAGUCACAAGAGUGAGGAAGGGAAACCUGAGCAGCGGUCCUGAAGCAAGAGACAGCAGUGGGACUCUGAGGAGCCAAAGAGGAAGGGAACCUGCCACCCAGACUAAGGAGCCAUGCUGGAGACUGCCACCUUUGCAGGCUUUGGAGAAGUAGGUGGUCAAGUAAGUUGGCUUCUGCAAGGCAAGACUGUGGCUGGUGCCUGCUGUGAGUAACCCCGAAUGACAGUCAGAAAGAAGCCAGGGACCUCAGCCUCACAGCAGAAGGAGGUGAAUUUUGCUGGAAGCUCACUGGAUCUGGAAGUAGAUCACUUUCCACUCAGGCAUCCAGGAGAGAGGAGGCGCAGCCAGCAAUUUGCACCCCCGAAGGCGAGGUGGGCCUGGACCCCUAACCCACAGCAACUCCGAGAUACUGGAAUAAUACAACUUUGAAUUCUGAAACUCGACUCUUCCUACUGGACAGAACUUUGGCAAAUGAGAGAAUCACUGUUUUGCAUCAUCUACCUACUUCUAUCUUCCAACUUCAUGUUAAACAGACUGAAAUGUUGUGCAGCUUGGAACAACGCCUGAUUUACUUUUCAGACUUUGGAGAAAGGGAAGAUUUUGCACCUGCUCCUUUAAUUGCUGUUUUCUUAUAUGUGUUACCAUGUAGCUUUAUAAAACACGGUUUGUCUAAAUGGAAGUAAAAAUUAAAUAAAUAAGAAAGAUA